UUCACCUUUGAAGCUCUAAUGUACUAUCACCAGAUGGCUAGCACUGUUACCAGGCAUAUGAGCCUAGGAGUUCAUUUAUUUUUCUUGUAUGGAUUCAACUCAGGUGCCCAGGUAGUUGGUCAUAAAGUGUGUGGUACGGGCUCUGUCCUACAGUCUUAAAGGGGCAGGGGUCAUUGGUGUAGGCAGAAGUAUCUGGCUGCAGUAGGGGGUCAGGCUCUGAUCAAGGCAGGGGUCUGACAGCUGUGCUCUGAGUGUCUGUGAGGAAAGUGCAUCCCUGUUCUGUAGAGCACAUGGGUGGGUUCUGCAGAAGGGCAGUGGGUACCCAAUGCUUUUGGUUGUAAGUUCUGGGCGGUACUACUUAUCCUUGGAGCCCUAUCACAGGUGGCUAGGUAUUGUGGGUGGAGCCAGCAGUCCUUAUGCCCCUGAUGUGGGUAGGUGAAGACCCUGUUUAAUAGGCAAAGCAGUGUCAAACAUCAAAUACCCAUCUUUCCACCGUUCAGGUGAAACAGUUGCAGUCUGGCAACAAGGGCCUAUUCUCCUGAAAUGGGCCCACACAGGUCCAUGCUGGGGUGAAAGGUAUUCAAAGCCCAUGGACUGUUUGUGCCUGAACAAGAGCUGCUUCUGUCCUGAGCUCCCCAGCUUAAUUGAGCUGGCAGAUUAUCUUUCCCCCAGUUGUGAACUUAUACCUUCUUCAAGGAUGGAAAAAUGGCUCAGAGUGGUACCAGGGCCUAUCUCAGGCCCAGGGAAGUUGACAGCCACUGAAGCCGGCUUGGGGGCUGGGGGCGUGGUAAAAUAAACACAAGUAAUUAGCUUUUGCUGAGAGUGCCGUUCUUCUCUUGUUCUGGAGGUGUGAGUAGUCUGUGCAACUUGCUGUCCUUCCCUGAGCUAAACGCCUGUGGAACGCCACUGCCAGCCCCACUGCAGUCGCUCCAGGGAACGGUGCCUGAGGGUUCCUGGCUAUUCAGGUCCAGUAACUCCUCUCCACUUCUGAAUAGUCUCUCCCUCCCCCUGCCGCUGAGUCCAUUUUCUAACUUUACCUUUGAUGUUCAGGGCUCCUAGCUUCUCAUAAAUAUAAUCGCUUCACUUGUUUUUUCUGGUCUUUUUUGUAAGAGGGAUCACUGGUGGCGUCUCAAUACUCAAAACUUCAUCAUUUCUUCCUUUCACUUUAGCUACUCGACAUUCAAGAGCAACGUUCAGAGUCUCUUCCGACAUCCGUUUUGGUCUUUUCUUUCUUUCCUGUCUUUUAAAGGAUCUCUUGCUUUCUUCAUGUGUGAUGUCCUUGAUGUCAUUCCACAACUCGUCUGGUCUUCAGUCGUUAGUGUUCAACACGUAAAAUGUGUUCUUGAGGUGGUCUCUAAAUACAGGUGAGAUAUACUCAAGGUCAUAUUUUGGCCCCUUUUGACUUAUUCUAAUUUUCUUCAGUUUCAACUUGAACUCCCAUAUGAGCAAUUGACAGUCUGUUUCACAAUUGAUCCCUGGCCUUGUUCUGACUGAUGAUAUGAGUUUUCCCAUCUUCUCUUUCCACAGAUGUAGUCAGUUUGAUUCCUGUGUAUUCCAUCUGGUAAAGUCCACGUGUAUAGCUGCCGUUUAUGUUGGUGAAAAAAAAUAUUUGCAGUGGAUGAGUCACUGGUCUUGCAGAAUUCUUUCAUGAGAUUUCUGGUGUCAUUUAUUUCAUCGAUGCUGUAUUUUCCAACUACUUUUCCUUCUUUGUUUCCAACUUUAACAUUCUAAUGACCAGUAAUUAUCAAUGCAUCUUGAUUGCAUGUUUGAUCAAUUUCAGGCUGCAGAAGUUGUUUAAAAUCUUCAAUUUCUUUAUCUUUGGCAUUAGUGGUUGGUGCAUCAAUUUGAAUAGUCGUAUAAACUAGUCUUCCUUGUAAGUGUAUGGAUUUUAGCCUAUUAGUGACAACAUUGUACUUCAGGCUAGAUCUUGAAAUGUUCUCUUUGAUGAUAUGUAACGUCAUUCUUUUGACUCUAGUGGAAUAUCCAUGUUUGUAAGACUGCUCACAGACUGUUUCACCAGAGAGUUUUCUGGUACUGCAACAUCUACCACUAAUCUCUGUGAUCCCUGUGAAUUGGCAAAAUAAGAAUAGUGCUAUAGAUUUCUUCCAAAUACAGAAAACAUAAGUAUGAAAAUGUUCUUGCUGUUGAUUAUAUUCUUUACCAAUCUGUUUGUGUGGGAUUUUUGGUACUUCACUUGAAAAAUGAGUCCAAGGUACUGUGAUGUGAUUGUUUACUUUGUGUGGCCUUUCUAGCCAUGGUCUUAUAACAUCCACCCUGGUGCUUGGGCAGGACUGUGUGAUAGGGUAAUUGUGGCUCACCAAGGGGAUUGUUUAUUUUCCCUUCAAAGAGAACCAGUUCCAGAGCAAAGAGGAGGAUUCAACUCCCAUCAAGGAAGAACAGCCAAGAGCCGAGCGUAUAUUAUGGACCUGAGAUCCCUGCACUGAGAAGCUCCUAGAAGCAAGAGACUGAGAUAGAGAGAGGAAGCUGUAACCCUGAAGAUGCUUAAAUACAGACCAGAAGAGGAGUUUGGGGCUUGACACCUGACAUCUUAACACCAGUUCCUGUUUCUUGAGGAAGGAAGAGGUAAAAUAAAUCAGCGUUUACUGUUUCCUUCUCCAUCCCCGGAAGUCCUGAUGAAGACCCUCUCAGCUUCAACUUGAACGUGAAUAUGAGCAACUGAUCAUCUGUUCUGCAGUCAGCCCCUGGCCUGAUUCUGACUCAUGAUAUUGACCAAGUGAAGAGUGAUUCAGAGAAAAACAUGGGUAGAGUGUGACCUAAUUUCCAUAAAAACAAAGAAAUGAAUGUACUUACAUGUGUCCCGGCAAAAAGAAGUGUGUAAAAGGGUACAUAUGUAUCUUUGGACACUGGACACUUCAGGGGAGCAGGUACAAUAUACUUAUGUGGGGAUGGCUCUUAUUAAAACUUCUAUAUACAAAUCUCUAUUGUUAAAUGUGUUAUAAGAAUGUAAAAGCUUUUAAAGUUUAAUAACAUCAUACGUGUAUGUGUGUGUAUUUGAAACUUUUUUUUUUUUUUACUAUUUUAUAUAUGUGUUUUUUAGUUAUCUAGUUUUUUUUUUAGUGUGGCUAUAGCAGAGAUACCACAAGUGGAUGGCUUUAACAAACAGAAACUUAUUCUCUCACAGUUUAAGAAGCAACAAGUUUGAAGUCAGGGCACCAGGUCUAGGAGAAAGCUUUCUCUCUUUGUGGCUCUGGGGGAAGGUCCUUGUCAUCUAUCUUCCCCUGGCCUAGGAAAUUCUCAGCGUGUGGACACUGGGUCAAAAAGACGUGCUCCACUCCAGACACUUCUUCCUUGGUGGUAUGAGGUCCCUCUCAUUUCCGCUCACUCUUCUCUUUGUAUCUCAAAAGAGACUGACUCAAGACUCACCCUAAUCCUGUAGAUUGUGUCCUCCCUCAUUAACCUAACUGUCUCUAAUCCCGCCUUAUUAACAUCACAGAGGUUAGAAUUUACAACACAUAAGUAAUUACAUCAGAUCACAAAAUGCAGGACAACCACACAAUACUGGGAAUCAUGGUCUGGCCAGGUGGGCACACAUUUGGGGGGACACUAUUCAAUCCAUAACAAUAGAGAAAACACUGUCUUCAAUGCCAGAUUCAGAGACUUUUAUCCAUCUAUGAAGGGCAAACACAGAAAUUGAACAAAAUUCAGACCAGCGAAUUAUUGCUUGCUCUUGUAACUAAUGACUUCUUCUGGUCUCUGUACCUGGAAAUGGCCAAAACGAAUUCUGUGAGGAUUAAUUCAGUUAUUGCUAAAACAUCUACUGCAUUUACAUGUCUACAGAUAAGGAAGAAUGCUGGACACCAUGUGUGAUUCAUUAAGUAACACAGGGACUAUUAGACUGUUGUUCUCCUUCUCUGAUAUGCCACUAUCACCUUCUCCCCUUGUUGCUCUCCUGAAAAACCCACACUUGUAUAUUCUAGGCUUUUUUCCAGGAUUGAAUUUGCAGGAAGUUGAAGAUAUAUCUUUGAAAGAUAAAAAAGACUUUGGCCACAUUGUCUUUAGACAGUCAAACUUCCCAGCCAGCCUCUGUGCAGGAUGGGAAUUCACAAUCCCUCCUACUCAGUACCUCUGAGCAGGACAGGAUUUCUGUUUCAUUAUCAGGAGACUGUGGAAUUCACCCCUCUUCAGAAAACUUACUUUCCUUUGCCUCAAACUGUCCCUCUCAGGAUCUGUCACGGUCACUCUGAGAAAUUCACAUGGGCAGCCUGUAUGGAAGUGCCCAUCCUAGAGACCCUGCCCUCCCUUCCUUGCUCCGUAGGGCUUCCUCUGACACUUGGGGUCACAUCUCCCAGGGAGUACAUACCUCUGGCACUUCCAGGGAUUCCCAGGCCCUGGGAUACUGUGGAUGGGACUUGGAACUCAAUCUCUUUCUUCCCAUCCUCACCUUUGGUUAUCUGUGUUCUGUCUUCACCAGAUUUAGGAGGCCUUGUCUUCUCUUUGCUCAUUUCAUUUCAGUCAGGCUUUUCUAUUCCAACUCUCUGAUCUCAGGACAGAUCAGGUUAGACCACAGAAAAGAGAAAGACCAAGCAAACAUCACUGAUCUGUGCAGAAGCUGCUGGGAAGGGAUUCGAUUCUCAUUGGUUUAGGGUUUUAUGCCCACUGCUCACCGGCAGGCAGGUUCCCCCCAGAGUCUGGGUUCUGUCUGGUACCUUGUACUACAAAGAACUCAGUGACCAGCCCACCUUCACAAUCACACCUCCCUUAGAGCUACCUUUGCAGAGGCUCUUUCUCAGACUUCCAUGUCCCACUGAAAUCCCAUUUCUCUUCCCUUACAAACAUUGUGCUCAUUCUCAGGGCCCCGAGACCUUAUCUGCAGGUGAGUCUUGUCCUCUUCUCUCCUUGGCUUUUGAGUGGACCUCAUGUCUUCAGACAGCUAUC
Long non-coding RNA from Loxodonta africana (African savanna elephant), 4896 nucleotides. RefSeq lists it as uncharacterized. The record is from RefSeq and is a predicted model, not a curated record. The transcript has 3 exons. Lineage: Eukaryota; Metazoa; Chordata; Mammalia; Proboscidea; Elephantidae.